CAGCAGUGGGAAUAUUGCACAUGGGGAAACCCUGAUGCAGCCAUGCCGCGUGUGUGAAGAAGGCCUUCGGGUUGUAAAGCACUUUCAGUAGGGAGGAAGGUAGUGUAGUUAACACCUGCAUUAUUUGACGUUACCUACAGAAGAAGCACCGGCUAACUCCGUGCCAGCAGCCGCGGUAAUACGGAGGGUGCGAGCGUUAAUCGGAAUUACUGGGCGUAAAGCGCAUGCAGGCGGCCUGUUAAGUCAGAUGUGAAAGCCCGGGGCUUAACCUCGGAAUUGCAUUUGAAACUGGCAGGCUAGAGUCUUGUAGAGGGGGUAGAAUUUCAGGUGUAGCGGUGAAAUGCGUAGAGAUCUGAAGGAAUACCAGUGGCGAAGGCGGCCCCCUGGACAAAGACUGACGCUCAGAUGCGAAAGCGUGGGGAGCAAACAGGAUUAGAUACCCUGGUAG
This 448-nucleotide ribosomal RNA is filed under the name uncultured bacterium. Its description in RNAcentral is "bacterial SSU rRNA". It matches the Rfam family "Bacterial small subunit ribosomal RNA", at positions 349 to 793 of the family's 1533-position model. The record is from RNAcentral.